This 320-nucleotide ribosomal RNA is filed under the name uncultured bacterium. RNAcentral's name for it is "bacterial SSU rRNA". It matches the Rfam family "Bacterial small subunit ribosomal RNA", at positions 28 to 334 of the family's 1533-position model. The record is from RNAcentral.
GACGAACGCUGGCGGCGUGCCUAAUACAUGCAAGUCGAGCGGAGUUAUGAUGGAGCUUGCUCCGGAUUAGCUUAGCGGCGGACGGGUGAGUAACACGUAGGCAACCUACCUCUUUGACUGGGAUAACUACCGGAAACGGUAGCUAAUACCGGAUAAUUCCUUUGUUCACAUGGACGAAGGAUGAAAGGCGGAGCAAUCUGCUACAAGGAGAUGGGCCUGCGGCGCAUUAGCUAGUUGGUGGGGUAACGGCUCACCAAGGCGACGAUGCGUAGCCGACCUGAGAGGGUGAACGGCCACACUGGGACUGAGACACGGCCCAG